CACCUGCUGCAGGGUUUUCUGGCCAGCAGCUGCGGUGUGGCUCGCUUCUGCUCCCUUGAACCUUCUGAAACCUCCCCUAACCAGCCUUGCUUGGGCCUCUCUUCCAGCUCUUUCUCUGCGAAGGCAGAGAAGCUUCUGUCAUCUGCAGGCCUCCCCUUCCAUAGGACGGCCCUGCCCUUCCCCUGAGGCCCAGCAGGCUUUCCAGUGAACCCCACAGGGGAGGUGGGAAAAGAGAGAGCGAUCCGGAGUCUCGGGGGCUGGCUGGUCACUGAAGUACUGCCCGGCCAGACCAUUUAAAACAUCCUUGAACAACAAAAGUAUAAAUACCGCGUCUGGACCAGAACAAACGAUACAGAGAAUUUUAAUGCCAAACUUGGAACAACAAACAAAAUGUUUCUUUGGGAAUUUCUGACAGAGGAGCACGCCGUAUAAGGAUUUUUAAAAUUGUGUGGUUUUUUUUUUAAUUGUUUGUGUUUUUUUUUAGUAGUCGGGGCAAGUUUCAACCAGGAUAUGAAAAUGAACUGGAAGCAAACAACCUCAAAGGCAGAAAUGAGAUUCUCCUUGGAAAUCUUGCAUAAUCCACUGUCUUGUGUAAUUUCAAGAGGGCUUCGAAAUAAGGAGAAAAUAAAUGCCAACUCUCCUAAGCUUGCCAGGAAAGGAAAGGUCUGAAUUUCUCCUUCUACUGAAGAAGGAGGAGCACCCUCCCCACCCCCGUGAGGCUCCACCACCUUCCCCACCAGUACCAGGAGAGGCACCUGAUGGGUGGGCCACCUCCAAGACAACAAUGACUUAAUUGUGAUGUGUGAUGCGGGCUUCGGGAAACUGCUGGCCAGGCAGCGGGACCUGUGAGGCUUGAGGGCUCUGUUUGCGUGUCAGAAGGAGAAGGUCCAGCAGCUGAGAGGCCAAACAUCAGAGAGGCUCGAGUCUGUGGUCCUGGACGUCACCAAGACAGAGAGCAUCACUGGAGCACCCAGUGGGUGAAGGAGUAUAUGAGGACAGAGGUCUUGCACAUGCUGGUGCAAUGGAACCGAUGAGAGUUGGAGUCUGGUUACCUGCAAAACAUCCUGGCUCCAGUCUGUGCAACCUCAGGAUUCAGUUUCAGCUGCAUGCCACAGACGCCAAAAUUAACAGUGGAUUACACAAGACAGAUAUUUCUUUCUUCCCUUGUGGAAAAACCUGCCAUGGUAUGUAUGGUAUCUCCUCUCUAUUGAUUUGUCAGGGGCUCAGAUGUUUUUAGGCUUCCUGCUCUGCUAUCCUACAGUCCAAGAUGGCUCUAGGCAGUGGAACGGGAAAGGACAGGUCUCUAUCCCGUAAGGGUAGAGCACAGAUGUUUUGCACAUCUUGCUCGUGCUCACAUACCUUGGCCAGAACUUAGUCACAUUGUCAGAAGCAACAAGGCAGGCUGAAAUUGUGGUUCUCAUUCUGAGUAGCCAGGCAUUCAGCUAAUAAUCCAAUUAUCGUGGACCAAGGGGAGAAUGUAUGUUGUGGGACAGCUGGCAGUCUCUGCCACACAGAAGAAGUCAAUUCUCUUGCAGGAUCUUCAGCAACAGCUUCUUUCUUUAUGUAGUCUUUGGUGUGUGAUGGGUUUAAUAAUUACACUCCUGAAUCUAUGGGUCAAAUGAUUGGAAUGUCUCUAGGAGACUCCAGGAAUUCUUUUCUUAGGUACUCAGCUCUCUCUUACCAGCAGAGAAGUGAGAAGAGUUUGGAGACAUUUCUUAGAAUCAAUUAGCUUUGGUCUUCAGGUUGAUUGCUUUGCAGGAUAGAGAUCCUUACCUUUUGUUUUAAAAUAGUUUUGUUGAGGUAUAAUUGAUAAAAUUCACUUCUUAAGUUUUAUGUAAGUGUACAGUUCCAUAUUUUUUUACUCAAUUUAUACUAUUUGUACAACCAUCACACAAUCCAGUAAUAGAAAAAAUUUUCUUCAUACAGAAUGUUCUCUUGUGCCUAAAGUUAGUUCCCACUUCCACCGAUAUACUUUCCAUAUCUAUGCAGACCACCUUUUCUGGAAAUCCUGUAUAAAUGGAAUUAUACAACAUGUAGUCUUUUGUGUCUGGCUUUUUUUACUUAGAAUAAUGUUUUGGGGCUUAUCCAUGCUGCUGCAUAGCUCAAUAGUUCAUUCUUUUUUAUUGCUGAGUUGUAUUCUAUAAUGCGGACAUACCACAUUUUAUCCAUUAACCAGUGGUGGACACUUGGAUUGCCUCCAGUUUGGAACUAAUGUAAAUAAUGCUAUUGUGAAAUUCAAAUAGUCUUCAUGUGAACACAUGCUUUCAUUUCACUUAGGAGUGGAACUGCUGUAUCGUAUGAUAUGUUUAACUUUUUAAGAAACUGCCAAACUGUUUUCUAAAGACUUUAUGUCAUUAUACAUUCCCACCAGCAAUGUAUGAGAGCUCUGUUUUCUCUACAUCCUCACCAACCCUUAGUAUUGCCAGUCUUUUAGAUUACAGUCAUACCAGUAUGCAUGCAGUGGGAUCCCUUUAUGUUUUUUUUAAAAGGUUUUAUUUAUUUAUUCAUGAGAGAAAGAGAGGCAGAGACAGAGGCAGAGGGAGAAGCAGGCUCCAUGUGGGGAGCCCGACGUGCGACUCGAUCCCGGGUCUCAGGAUCAGGCCCUGGGCUGAAGGCAGCGCUAAACCACUGAGCCCCCCGGGCUGCCCCCCUUUAUGGUUUUAAUUUACAUUUCCCUGAUAAUUAAUGAUAUUGAGCACACAAAAAGUUAUAAAUCUUCCUCUAAGCACAGCUUUAGCUGCAUCCUAUAAAUUUUUUUUUGUUUUUUUUCUUUUUGUUUAUAUUUUCAUUCAACUCAAGAUCCUUUCUAAUUUCCCACGUGAUUUUUUCCUUCGACCUAAGGAUUACUCAUACCUGUCUUGUUUAAUUUCCAAACAUUUGGAGGGCUUUCAAAUUUUUUCUUGCUGUUGAAUUCCAAUUUAAUUUCUCUUGUUGUAGAACAAUCUUUGUAUGACUUCAAUCUUUUAAAUUUUACCAAGAUUUGGCCUAGUAUAUUGUUUAUUCUAGAAAAUGUUUCAUGUGUGCUUAAAAAGAAAAUGAUUCUAUUUGUUGAGUAUUCUAUAGCUACCAGUUAGGUGAAAUUGGUUGAUAAUGUUCAAGUCUCCUUAUCUUAACCAAUUUUCUGUUUUAUCAGCACUCAAGAGAGGAACAUCUAAAUAUCCAACUCUAAUUCUUCAGUGGUCUAUUUUUCCUUUCAGUUCUGCUCAUUUUGUUUCCUAUUAUAUUAGGGUUCAGUUAUUCGGUGCAUGUGCAUUAUAAAUUUUAUAACUUCUAGAUGGAAUGACAUUACAAAAUGUCUCUAUUUGUCUCUGGUAAUAUUUGUAUUUUUAAAGUCACUUAAUAUAGCUAUUCAAGCUCUCUUACAAUUACUAUUUGUAUAUAUAUCUUUUUUGAUAUUUUUACUUUCAAUCUGUUUAUGUUUUGGGAUCUAAAAUAUGUCUCUUACAGGGGCACCUGGGUGGCUCAGUUGGUAGAACAUACAACUUUUGAUGUCAGGGUUGUGAGCUUAAGCCCCGCAUUGGGUAUAGAGCUUACUCAAAUAAAUAAAUAAAUAAAUAAAUAAAUAAAUAAAUAAAUAAAUAACAUGUCUUUUAUAGACUGCGUAUGGUUGGGUCUUGUUUUUGUAUACAGUCCCACAAUUUCUACUUUUGAUUGGAAAGUUCAGUUCACUUACAAUAAUGUAGUUAUUGUCAUUGGAAUUUCUUUUGAGAGAGAGCAUGCGCCAUGCGUGCAUGAGUGGGGCUGGGAGGGGCAGAGGAGAGGGAUUGAAUCUUACGCAGACUGCAGUGAGUGCAGAGCUCAUCGCAGGGCUCAAUCCCGUGACCUGAGCCAAAGUCCCAAGUCAGAUGCUUAACCAACUGAGACACCCAGAUGCCCCUCAAUGUCAUUAGAUUCUAUCUGUCAUUUUGCUAUUUAUUUUCUUAGGUCUUAUGUCAUUUUUCCUCUUUCCUCAUUUAUUGUCAUUUCAUAAGUUAAAAGAGAUUCUAGUAUACCAUUUUUUAAAAAGAUUUAUUUAUUUAUUCAUGAGAGACACAGAUUGAGAGGAGAGACAAAGAUAUAAGCAGAGGGAGAGGCAGGCUCCAUGCAGGGAGCCCGAUGCGGGACUCGAUCCCGGAUCCGGGGAUCACAACCUGAGCCAAAGGCAGGCGCCCAACCGCUGAGCUUCCCAGGCAUCCCGAGUAUACCAUUUUAAUUCCAUUAAUUUUAAAGACUUUUAAAAAUGCUAUUUCCUAAAUAAUUAGAGCAGUGGUUCUCAACUGUGGGCAAUAUUCUUCCCCUAUUCCUGCUAAAGGAUAUCCAGAAAUAUCUGGAGACAUUUUUCAUUGUCACAGCCUGGCAGGGUAUUCAGAGGUCAAUCACUUGUCAAAUUAGCCUGGGUUUUAGCUUUCAGCUUGGCUCCCACCUUCUCCCCGCCAUGUGAGUAGUGCUCCAAGCCAGCUGCCUGUGUAUGGAGAGCUUAGUCCAGCCUUUCUGUGACUCUCUUACUUUCAGACCUCACUGCUAAAUUUCUGGCUGGUCUGCUGCUUGCCUCAAGUGGGGUCAUAAACUGAGGUUAGAAGAGCUAUGAGUUUUCCCUGUUCCUGUCCUACCAAGUUUGCUGCUUUGCUGAUAAUGCUGCGGUGUCUUUCUGUCUUCUACCUGAAAUGAAGCCUGCCCCCUCAGGCCGCAAAGAUGCUAAUUUUCCGGGCAGCUCUGCCAGUCAAGCCUGUUGAGCUCCAGUGGGGAAUGGGAGGGAAUGGCCCCAGGCAAGGAGGUCACUAAUUCCUGCUGAUCUCAUUUGAAGAGCUAAAGGUUUUUCAUGAAUAAAUGAUUCUCAAUUUGUUGUUUACCUUUGGUUAAUUUGUUUCUGACAGUUUUGUCCAAUUUUACACUUGCUUUUGGAGGAAAGGAUUUGUUCAUCUCUUCAUUCCAUAGUUGGAAGUUCCCCCACUACUUCGGAGUUAAAGUUUGCAUCCUGAAACCUGGCAACUUUAGAGCAGCACCUUCACCUCCAAAAGGGUAAAUAGUGUCCUUAGGGAAAAUCUGGGUCCUUGUGAGUUAGGGACAAAUGGGGGUAGGCAGGGCUAGGUAGGGGCCCAUGGAAGUAGGCUCACAAAAAUGCCCAAAUGCUGAGGUGUAAGGAAACCAGAGAUCAUGGAACAAGCCAGAGCACCUUGCCCUAAGGUGUGUGUGGGGAAGGUGUCUUAUUAGGAGAGUCAUCUGUGACCGACAAAGAAUAACCAGAUCCCAAAGAAGAAGGCCCUAAAGACGUUACCACUAGUCCUUACUCCAUGGUGAUCUCGGUAGAUAAUGUUAAAAGGAUUUAGGUUCGCUGGUUGGCUUCCAAUAAAAGACCAAUCAUACAAACCCUCAGUGGCAACCUGUUGGGACCCCUUUCACUCCUGAGAGCUUUCUCUGUAUCUUUACUUAAACUUCCAUCCUUCACUCAC
Molecule: long non-coding RNA, 5429 nt
Organism: Nyctereutes procyonoides (raccoon dog)
Lineage: Eukaryota; Metazoa; Chordata; Mammalia; Carnivora; Canidae
Exons: 3
Source: RefSeq, a predicted model, not a curated record